Molecule: non-coding RNA, 72 nt
Organism: Oryzias latipes (Japanese medaka)
Lineage: Eukaryota; Metazoa; Chordata; Actinopteri; Beloniformes; Adrianichthyidae
Source: Rfam
GGCAUGGUGGCCAAGUGGUAAGGCGUAGGUCUUGUAAACCAAAAAUCAUGGGUUCAAUCCCCAUCCGUGCCU